RNAcentral lists this ribosomal RNA (611 nucleotides) under uncultured bacterium. Its description in RNAcentral is "bacterial SSU rRNA". It matches the Rfam family "Bacterial small subunit ribosomal RNA", at positions 55 to 656 of the family's 1533-position model. The record is from RNAcentral.
AUGCAGUCGAGCGGUAGCACGAGAGAGCUUGCUCUCUGGGUGACGAGCGGCGGACGGGUGAGUAAUGUCUGGGAAACUGCCUGAUGGAGGGGGAUAACUACUGGAAACGGUAGCUAAUACCGCAUAACGUCUACGGACCAAAGUGGGGGACCUUCGGGCCUCACGCCAUCAGAUGUGCCCAGAUGGGAUUAGCUAGUAGGUGGGGUAAUGGCUCACCUAGGCGACGAUCCCUAGCUGGUCAGAGAGGAUGACCAGCCACACUGGAACUGAGACACGGUCCAGACUCCUACGGGAGGCAGCAGUGGGGAAUAUUGCACAAUGGGCGCAAGCCUGAUGCAGCCAUGCCGCGUGUGUGAAGAAGGCCUUAGGGUUGUAAAGCACUUUCAGCGAGGAGGAAGGGUUCAGUGUUAAUAGCACUGUUCAUUGACGUUAUUCGCAGAAGAAGCACCGGCUAACUCCGUGCCAGCAGCCGCGGUAAUACGGAGGGUGCAAGCGUUAAUCGGAAUUACUGGGCGUAGAGCGCACGCAGGCGGUUUGUUAAGUCAGAUGUGAAAUCCCCGCGCUUAACGUGGGAACUGCAUUUGAAACUGGCAAGCUAGAGUCUUGUAGAG